Carya illinoinensis is the source of this 922-nucleotide long non-coding RNA. RefSeq lists it as uncharacterized. The transcript has 3 exons. The record is from RefSeq and is a predicted model, not a curated record. NCBI's taxonomy places the organism in Eukaryota, Viridiplantae, Streptophyta, Magnoliopsida, Fagales, Juglandaceae.
CAACUCAAGGGACACCUAGGGAAGACCAAGAAUCAUUGAGAAGACUUAGGGUUUUCGGCAAGCACAAGGCACCAAAACACACACUCUACUUGCUGCAUGGUAACCAUGCACACAUGUUGGGAUUUAAGGAAGAUUUAGGGUUUUUGGAUUUUACCUUUUUGCCACCAAGUGCAUUGAACCUAGACACAUGAAGAAGGGGAAAGAUGGAAAGAGGGUUUCGGUUGGGGAGGCUACACACCACUUGCAAAAAUAGACCUUUGGCUUUCCAAGGCCAUCCCAUCUUAGGGAAAAGAAAGGGAUUCUUCUGCUUAGGAGCCAAGUGGCAUCCAUGCACAUGGCCUCUAGUAUUUCAAGAAGGGAGGGAGGCUUCUAUAUAAAGGGAUAGCCGAAAUGUGAGGAGCCCUUUUUGGACAAAUUUCCAUAUUUUCUUUUUACACCCAUUCGGCAACACCAUAGCUCUCUCUCUAGUUUUCAUGUUCUCAAGUUUUCUCACCAACCAAACACCACCCUCACUCUUCAAGCACUAUUUUGAAAUCACCAAAGAUUUCUCCUACACCAUUCAAGAAGAGAGAAAGCACACAAAGAUUUCUUGCUGAUAUUAUCAUGGAUUUUUAAUGGUAAAAGUUGUAACAGGUAUAGGAAACCUGAUGAUGAAGUAGAAGAGGACAGUACUCCCUUUGGAUAGGAUAGUGCCCAAGAUGGAAGUGAGCUCUCCUAAGCUCUACAUCCAGGAACAGUUAGAGACCAUCGAUUAGACUUUUACCGAAGUACUUAAACUCAUGGAUGAGUUAAAACGACUCAGGAACUAUGGCAAAGAUCAGUCCUUAGAAAAGAGGGUGAAGCCUUAAAGGCCAUGAUGACUUAAAUCUUUUGUGGAAUAGACAAUCUUUUGGAAUGGUCUUGUUAUUUGAGAGACUUUAUA